GGGAGACGUUGGGUAGGGGCUUUUAGGAAAGUCAGUCUGCUUUUGAUGAGGAGGUUCAGGAAGGCAUUAUUUGUCUCAAUCUAUCCCCUCUCCCCAACAGUGAACAAGAAAGCAGAUAUCCUUGCUGACUGUUGGCAGCCGUUGUGGGACCACAAAGGCACCAGCCUCAGGAGAUGGGAAGACUGAGUUGCCAGGGACGUUGCUGAGCCAUUAGAGCCAUCCUUACCCACAAGCCCACCCCACCUUGGGACUUCCUCUUGGAACAUGUCACCUUCCCAUGUUUUCCAAGUCAUAAAAGUAGUACAUGUCCAUCACAGACAAAUGGGGAGUGCAGAAAAGCACAAAGAAUAAAACAGAGACAGCAGGGUUCAGGCUUCGAGUUGUGGUGCAAUUGGCCCACAUCCACCCCACCCUCUCUUCACGCAGCAGAUGACUGGGACAUAAAGAAGCUGAUGGGGCCACUGCCACCGAAUUUCCACCUGCAGCCCUUCUCGGGGGCCACCACCAUGCUCCUCAACAGCUGUCACUGACAGGACAGAGCUUGAGGAUCUUGAGGAGCUACUGACCCUGCAGAACCGCUCUGAGACCAGGGGGAGCUUUUCCAGGUGAAACGAUUCAUGGCUAGGCUGAUUUAACUAAUGGGUUUUUCAUCAGAGUAAUACAUAUUCAGAUAUGUCCCAUGCUCAGUGAUGGCAUCAAGCAAUGUCAGGAUUAGAUGGGAAAUUAGAGGCAAUUUGCUCCAAGUGUCUACUUGUGUACCCUCCACAGACGUAUCCAUGCAAUGGUCUUCUGUCUUCUAGGAAGCUCCCAAGUUCAUUUUUUAUUCAAAGCGAACCAGGAGAGUUCUGUCUACACUCAUUUCUAUGCAUAGAACUUGACGCUUUAAAAAGACAAUGCUGAAUUCUAGUUUCCCUGCCCCUACACCAGCCCAAUCCUCUGUUCUUAUUCCCAUCUGACGGUGUCACCCAGGGCACUAACCCAGUAGUACCAGGCACCGAAUAGGCAUCCAGUAGGUGUUGAAUGUCGUAUGUAGCGGACAAGGGCCACUUUGGAAAGUCAUGUUUCAUCGCUUCACUCCUCCCUGUGAGUCUGGGUGCUCUGAAGCCCCUCUCUCGAUCCCCCCAUGAGACACACAGAAUUUAGACCCUGUCAUCAAUGUUAAAGGUCAGCUAACAUGGUUUCCAAACCAAGCAUGUGUCACCAUGUAUCACUUGGGCUUGAACCCAGGUUGGCUGAAUUAUCCAUGCAUCUAGGCAACCACCUAUACAUCCAUUCAUGCAGCUCAUGGAAAUGUUUGGAGUGCAAGCACAGUUCCAGGUGUUGUGGCAGAUACAAAGAAUAUGAUAGAGGGCCUGGUCCUGGUGGAUCCAGGAUGUUGUGGGGGAGACUGUUCUAAUGAGCCAUCUCUGUGUUGAGUUAUGUGAUAAGAGCUGUGAUAGAGAUUCUGCAAAGAAUCCGGGCCUGGGCAUUCAGGCCUGGGAUCUGCACAAGUGGGUCCUCGUGCUGCCCUUAUUUAAGGCUCAAAAGGUACCACUCUCCCAGACAUCAAUACCACUUCACUGUCAAAUUUCCCUUCCCACAAUCCUGUCCUGUGGUGGUGUGCUGGAGAGGGAGCAUUACCUCCAGUGUCCCUUAACCAUACCUAAGAAUAUAACUACACAGGCAGAUCACGAGGUCAGGAGAUCGAGACCAUCCUGGCUAACAUGGUGAAACCCCAUCUGUACUAAAAAUACAAAAAA
Molecule: long non-coding RNA, 1739 nt
Organism: Homo sapiens (human)
Lineage: Eukaryota; Metazoa; Chordata; Mammalia; Primates; Hominidae
Source: Ensembl